GAUGAACGCUGGCGGUAUGCUUAACACAUGCAAGUCGAACGGAUGUUUUCGGACAUUAGUGGCGGACGGGUGAGUAACGCGUGAGAAUCUGCCUAUAGGUUGGGGACAACAGAUGGAAACGUCUGCUAAUACCCGAUGUGCCGAGAGGUAAAAGCUUUAGUGCCUGUAGAUGAGCUCGCGUCCGAUUAGCUAGUUGGUUAGGUAAAGGCUGACCAAGGCGACGAUCGGUAGCUGGUCUGAGAGGAUGAUCAGCCACACUGGGACUGAGACACGGCCCAGACUCCUACGGGAGGCAGCAGUGGGGAAUUUUCCGCAAUGGGCGAAAGCCUGACGGAGCAAUACCGCGUGCGGGACGAAGGCUUUUGGGUCGUAAACCGCUUUUGUUAGGGAAGAAUAACUGACGGUACCUAACGAAUCAGCAUCGGCUAACUCCGUGCCAGCAGCCGCGGUAAUACGGGGGAUGCAAGCGUUAUCCGGAAUUAUUGGGCGUAAAGCGUCCGCAGGUGGUUUAUCAAGUCUGCUGUCAAAGCGUGGGGCUUAACCCCAUAAAGGCAGUGGAAACUGAGAGACUAGAGUACGGUAGGGGUAGCGGGAAUUCCCAGUGUAGCGGUGAAAUGCGUAGAUAUUGGGAAGAACACCAGCGGCGAAGGCGCGCUACUGGGCCGAAACUGACACUCAUGGACGAAAGCUAGGGGAGCGAAAGGGAUUAGAUACCCCUGUAGUCCUAGCUGUAAACGAUGACAACUAGGUGUUGCGCG
RNAcentral lists this ribosomal RNA (758 nucleotides) under uncultured cyanobacterium. RNAcentral's name for it is "bacterial SSU rRNA". It matches the Rfam family "Bacterial small subunit ribosomal RNA", at positions 28 to 829 of the family's 1533-position model. Lineage: Bacteria; Bacillati; Cyanobacteriota. The record is from RNAcentral.